Molecule: ribosomal RNA, 606 nt
Filed under: Trametes ochracea
Lineage: Eukaryota; Fungi; Basidiomycota; Agaricomycetes; Polyporales; Polyporaceae
Description: eukaryotic LSU rRNA
Rfam family: Eukaryotic large subunit ribosomal RNA
Source: RNAcentral
CUGACCUCAAAUCAGGUAGGACUACCCGCUGAACUUAAGCAUAUCAAUAAGCGGAGGAAAAGAAACUAACCAAGGAUUCCCCUAGUAACUGCGAGUGAAGCGGGAAAAGCUCAAAUUUAAAAUCUGGCGGUCUUUGGCCGUCCGAGUUGUAGUCUGGAGAAGCGUCUUCCGCGUUGGACCGUGUACAAGUCUCUUGGAACAGAGCGUCAUAGAGGGUGAGAAUCCCGUCUUUGACACGGACUACCAAUGCUUUGUGAUGCGCUCUCAAAGAGUCGCGUUGUUUGGGAAUGCAGCGCAAAAUGGGAGGUGAAUUCCUUCUAAAGYUAAAUAUUGGCGAGAGACCGAUAGCGAACAAGUACCGUGAGGGAAAGAUGAAAAGCACUUUGGAAAGAGAGUUAAACAGUACGUGAAAUUGCUAAAAGGGAAACGCUUGAAGUCAGUCGCGUCGUCCGGAACUCAGCUUUGCUUCGGCUUAGUGCACUUUCCGGUUGACGGGCCAGCAUCGAUUUUGACCGCUGGAAAAGGGCUGGAGGAAUGUGGCACCUUCGGGUGUGUUAUAGCCUUCAGUCGCAUACAGCGGUUGGGAUCGAGGAAUCGCAGCGCGCC